This 2112-nucleotide long non-coding RNA is filed under the name Cricetulus griseus (Chinese hamster). RNAcentral describes it as "lncRNA (ENSCGRG00015031944.1)". The record is from RNAcentral. Lineage: Eukaryota; Metazoa; Chordata; Mammalia; Rodentia; Cricetidae.
CUUACAGUUUCAGAGGUUCAUUUCAUUAUCACCAUGACAGAGAGCAUGGCAGCAUGCAGGCAGACAUGGUGCUGGAGGAACAGCUAUGAGUCCUAUAUUUUGCAGGAAACAGGAAAUCAACUGAGACACUGAGUGGUAUCCUGAGCAUUAGAAACGUUAAAGCCCACCCCCAUAGUGACACACUUCCUCUAACAAGGCCACACCCACUCCAACAAAGCCACACCGCCUAAUAGUGCCACUCCCUAUGUGAUUAUGGUUGCAAUUACAUUCACAUACCACAUGUUCCUUUUCUUUUCUUUCUUUUUUCCUCAGAGUUAAUUGUUGUUCAUGUUUCAUUUGCUUCUUCUGUUGAUCCCUGGUCAGAUCUUCCUGCCUUUCAUUCUCCAUCCUGGGUCCUUUUACUCCCUUUCCCAACCAUCCUAGAGCUGUUGGCUUUUUCACCUGAAUUCAAAGCUCUUUAGUUCAGUCACAUCCAUGGCCUCCUAUAACUUCCCUUUGCCACCAGCCAGAUAGUUCCUUCCUCCCAUUCCUCUGUGGGUAACUGGGCUUUAUUUUUAUUAUUAUUAUUUAUUUUUUGGUUCUUUCUCUCCUUUUGUGGCUUAUGCUCUUCUGGAGCUCCUCCAUGGAAUGAGCUUCCCAAGGAAGUAUGCAUGGGAGAUAAAUUGUUUAAAUCUUAUAUGUUUGAAGAUGCCUCUAUUCUGCCUCACUCUAGAUUGGCUGUUAGAUUUGGGUACAGACUUCUUAGCUACAAGGCCUCGUGUCAUAGUCUUCCAGCUUCUGGUGUUACUAGGAAGCCUGAUGCACAUCUUACUUCUUAUCCUUGUAUAAGUGUUGGGACCCAGCCCCCACGGGGUCUCUAAGAGUUGUUUUCCAGUAUAACCACAGGUACUUCCUGUUUUCUUAACUUCAUCCCCACUAGCAUCAAUAUCCUGUUGUGAACCCUUUCACCUGGGGUUUUUGUAAGUUUGUUUAUAAGGCUGCUCCACAAUAAAGGUGAGAGACAUUCUCUUAGAAAAAGACCAGGAGUCUUAUUGUUCAUCCAAAUCUCUAGGCUUUCGCCUGAUACUCGGACUUAGUGGCCAAGAGCAGCCACAAGUGGAGGUCCCACUGAGAUUGGGAAAGAAAGGGGACCUUGAGAGAUCACCCUCAGAAGGCUGGAAAGCAAAUAAGGAGUUGUGAGGGUGGAUUGCAAAAGGUACUAGAAAAUAGGUACCUCAACUCCUGAGAGAGUUGGAUUAGCAAAAGGUACUAGAAAAUAGGUACCUCAACUCCAAAGAGAGUUGGAUUGUAAAGGCACUGGAAAAGGGAUGCCUCAACUCCUAAGAGAAUUGGAUUGGAAUAGAGAUCACAGUCAAUCACACAGAGAAAGUUUAAAGAGACAAGAUACUGGUAAGAUUUCAUUUUAACUUUGGAUUAAGUAAUAAUGCCAAGAAAAGUAUUAAAGAAAUACGGGAAAUCCUCCACUGAGGAAUCCCUCCCUCUUGAGCUUUGCAUCAGCAGCCAGAUGACCCAGCAGCCUGUGCCCUUGUCCACUCCAGCCCGCUGUGGGCUCCAAUGAGCUGGCAAUGAUGUGGUGUGCACCAGCUGGCUGGAGAAAUCACCUCCUGAGAAAAAGUUGGGGCACUAUGCUUGGAAGAAGUGCUGGUUUAUUCUGCGGAGUGGUCAGAUAAAUGGUGACCCAGAUGUUCUAGAAUACUAUAAGAAUAAACACUCCAAGAAACCACUGCGAAUCAUCAGCUUAAAACUUCUGUAAGCAUUUGGAUGUAGGCCUGACCUUCAACAAAAAUGAGCUCCAAAAGAGUUUUAUGUUUGAUAUCAAGACCAAUGAGUGCACCUUCUACCUGGUGGCUGAGACAGAGGUCAACAUAAAUAGGUGGGUCCAGAGCAUCUGCCAGAUCUGCAGCUUCAGUCAGACUACAGAGAUCAGACUCGGGGCUGGAGAGAUGGCUCAGAGGUUAAGAGCACUGGCUGCUCUUACAGAGGUCCUGAGUUCAAUUACCAGCAACCACAUGGUGGCUCACAACCAUCCGUUAUGAGAUCUUGUGCCCUCUUCUGGUGUGCAGAUAUACAUGGAAGCAAAAUGUUGUAUACAUAAUAAAUAAAAUCUUUUUA